ACUACAGUCUAGCCUGGGUGACAGAGCAAGACACUGUCUCAAAAGAAAAAAAAAAAGAAUUUGUGUUCGUAAUACUUUUAAAUUUUCUUUUUUUGAAAAGUAAGGUUUUUUUUUUUUUGUCCGCUUGGCCAGUCCAAAGGUCCUUUUCAUUGUCAUUGGGUGGGCCAGUUUUUCUCCUCCCAUCUUCUAUGAUGCAUGUAUGUUUUGGGUCAAUGAUCCUCUGGUGAUCUCUUUUCCUUAGGUUUAAUGUAACUUUUCCUCUUGCAUGCCAGUUUCAUGUUUUCUCACAGAAGUACUGGGAAAGGAUCUUCAUAUUUAACUUUAUUUAUUUAUUUAUUUAUUUUUGAGACAGUCUUGCUCUGUUGCCCAGGCUGGAGUGCAGUGGCGUCAUCUUGGCUCACUGCAACCUCCGCCUCCUGGGUUCAAGUGAUUCUUGUGCCUCAGCAUCCUGAGUAGCUGGGACUACAGGAUAGAAAAAUAAUACAUGCCAAAAGAAAUUUGAGGAACAAAUUCAGCCCUGAGACAGGUCACGGAAACAGCCCUCCAGUCUUCCUCAAGAAAUGUAGACUGAAUCAGCAUUUACCCACCCCUGGAAAAACGCAGGAGCUGCGCAUUCCUGGGAUCUCAGCAGGGCUUUUGGGAAGAGCAGAACUGGGCUGGAGUCACGGUUUCUGGGCUGACUCUAGAUUUUCCCCGGCUUUUGCCACCUGUGAUGGCUGGAGAGUAUCUGAAGAUGACAGCCAGUGUCCUUAGCUUGUGAAGAUUGGAUGAUGGCCGGGGCCCUCAGACCCCUUGGCCCCUCCUUAACUGCAGGUCUUCAAAAGCCCAACACCUGUUCGUCAUUUCUGUGGCUUCCCAGGGAGUCUUACUCUUCUGCUUCAAGCUGCUGGGUUUGACUCUGAGCAGUUUCUGUGCAGCCACAAAGAUUCUUAUGUGAGACACACUGCUGCUUCAGAGUGCUCCAACCCAUCUCCCCUGAUUAAACACUAACCAGGGCUGCCACAGCAAAGUGGCUCAAAUGGGUGACGUCAACAACAGAUUUACUUUCUCAUAGUUCUGGAGGCAGGUGUCUAGGAUCAAGGUGGUGGCAAGGCUAUUCCUUCUGUUGCCUCCCUCCUUGCCUUGUGGAUGACCGUCUUCUCCGCGUCUUUCCAAGAUCUCUCCUCUGUGCAUGUCAGUGUCCUUGCUUCCUCUUCUUAUGAAGACACCGGUCAUGUUGGAAUGCAACAGAAGAGAGUGCACGGCUUCUGAGGUUGCAGCUUUUGGGAGAAGCCAUCUACCAUUGAUGACAGACAUGCCGUGUGGAAACCAAACCAGCCAUGUGGAGAGGCUACCUGGACAGAGGCACAGGGCCAGCAGCAGCUGUGGAGACAGACAUGUGAGCAAAGAAAUCAUCUUUGAUGUACAGCCAAGUUGAGCCUUCAGAUGACUCCGAUUUCAGCCACCUUUGGACUGCAACCACAUGAAAGACUCUAAAUAGAAGCCUCCCAGCUGAUCCCGGUUAACCCACAGUGCUGAAGGGGAUAAUAAUAAAUUGUUGUUUUAAGCC
Molecule: long non-coding RNA, 1549 nt
Organism: Homo sapiens (human)
Lineage: Eukaryota; Metazoa; Chordata; Mammalia; Primates; Hominidae
Product: long intergenic non-protein coding RNA 1823
Source: Ensembl